UACGGAGGGUGCGAGCGUUGUCCGGAAUCACUGGGCGUAAAGGGCGCGUAGGUGGCCCGAUGAGUCAACGGUGAAAGCUCGAUGCUCAACAUCGAGUCGGCCGUCGAUACUGUCGGGCUGGAGCACUGUAGAGGCUCAUGGAAUUCCGGGUGUAGCGGUGGAAUGCGUAGAGAUCCGGAAGAACACCGGUGGCGAAGGCGGUGAGCUGGGCAGUAGCUGACACUGAGGCGCGACAGCGUGGGGAGCAAACAGG
RNAcentral lists this ribosomal RNA (253 nucleotides) under uncultured bacterium. RNAcentral describes it as "partial 16S ribosomal RNA". It matches the Rfam family "Bacterial small subunit ribosomal RNA", at positions 524 to 776 of the family's 1533-position model. The record is from RNAcentral.